RNAcentral lists this long non-coding RNA (3024 nucleotides) under Sus scrofa (pig). RNAcentral's name for it is "lncRNA (ENSSSCG00000060259.1)". The record is from RNAcentral. Lineage: Eukaryota; Metazoa; Chordata; Mammalia; Artiodactyla; Suidae.
UUUUUUUUAUUUUUAGGGCCACACCCAGGGCAUAUGGAAGUUCCCAGGCUAGGGGUUGAAUCAGAGCUGUAGCUGCUGGUCUACACAACAGCCACAGCAACACGGGAUCCAAGGUGCAUCUGUGACCUACACCACAGCUCACAGAAAUACCAUAUCCUUAACACACUGAGUAGGGCCUGGAAUCAAACCUGCAUUCUCAUGGAUACAGUUGGGUUCAUUACCACUGAGCCACAAAAGGAACUCCUCAUUUUGUUUCUUUUUAGGACCUCACCUGCAGCAUAUGGAAGUUCCCAGGCUAGGGGUCAAAUCAGAGCUACAGCUGCCAGCCACAGGCACAGCCACAGCAAUGCCAAAUCCAAGCCACAUCCAUGAGCUUUGCCAAAGCUUGCAGCAAUGCCGUAUCCUUAACCCACUGAGUGAGGCCAGGGAUUGAACCCACAUUUUCAUGGAUACUAGUUGGGUUCUUAGUCCACUGAGCCACAAUGGGAACUCCACCAGUGGUCCAUAUUGAAAGAAGGAGCGUCCUGUAGCUCAGGCUCAUACCUGCAAACAGCACUUCUCCAUUCUCUCCAUUCUCAGGUGCCAUGAGAGCUGCCAUUCAGCACCCCAACACAUCCCCCACCCCACAUCGAAAUAUCUGAGCCUUUAGAAGCACAGUGAUCACGACAAAGCCUGAUGCAGGGGGAAAGUUUUCCCAGAUAGUUUCAGAGGACACCCCAGCUGAGAUACAGUUUUUUUCAACCCUGAAGACAGUGGCAGCAGUCCAAAAGACCUAGACAGAUGGCAGUCCACCCUUCCUACAGACAAGCUCCACAAUCCUGGAUUCAACCGGCCACAAAUUGAAAAUGUGCCCCCCCAAAUUACAGAAAGUUCCAAAAAGUACAACUUGAUUCUUGCCCUGCCCAGGCAACUAUUUACAUAGUAUUUACAUUGUAUAUACAACUAUUUACAUAUCAUUUACAUUGUAUUAGGUAUUGCAAGUAAUCCAGAGAUGAUUGAGCAGGACUAUAUGCAAACCCUACACGAUCUCAUACAGAGGAUUCAAGAAUCUGAGUAUGGGGCGGGGGGAGGCCCUGGAAGUAAUGCCCUGCAGAUACCUAGGGAGGACCGCACAAGAAAAAAGGAGCUGACAGCUCCCCCUGGUGGUGUGGGUCCGUCCACUCAAACACGUUUCUUUGGAGGGGGCGGGCAGUGCAGUGCACAGAGUGGUCUGUGGGACAGACCUCUCCAAGUGCACACAAACACAUCUGUAUCCAGAUGCAGGGCUAAGCACAACUUUCUACCCCCUUUCCCCCUCUAAAUUUCAUGAAAUGACCCCAAAUAAUUGUUUAAUUAAAAAUAGGUUUAUUUCUGAGUUUGCCAUCACUUAACCUGUUUUCUAAGGUUAUGGAAGUUUGAUGUUCAGACAUGGAUGCGGGAGAAAAAACACUCAAAACACAUUUCCAAAUGUAAUGAGCAGAGGUAAAGAUAUGCCCACCAAGGUCUUAUCUCUGAAACCAACUGACUUGAUUACAGCACAAAAAAUACCUACAGAUGUGUAAAUCUUAUUUUGGAUGAAAAUAGAAAGCACUUACAACCCCAAAUAACACUUACUAUGGCUCACUUCUGCCAAGUCCAGUGAAAUUGGAGCCAAACUGAGGGAAGAUGCUGACACAGUGUGCUGUCAUGCCAGAUGAUGGGCAGAGCUGGCAAAGGACAACUUCUCUGAAGACUAUGAUUUAUUCAGAGGAGCAAAAUCAAGGACAACUUAACGUGUAACUAGACCCACCCUAUGUAUAAUGACUGCUCCUGAAAAAAAAAGAACUGAACACUUAAAAAAGAAAAACAAAAUUGAAAACAGGGUUUCUUAAAAAUAAAAAAAUAAAAUAAAAAGACUUGAAUCUGGCUGGGAAGAGGGGAAAACACGGAGUUAUUUAAGGCGUAUAGAGUUUCCGUUUUGCAAGAUGAGAAAGUUCUGGAUAUGGGUUGCGCAACACCAUGAAUAUACUUAGCACUAUUGGACUGUACACUUAAAAAGAUUUAGGGUGUUCCCUGGUGGCCUAGGGGUUAAGGAUUCACGUUGUCACUGCUAUGGCUCAGGUUCGAUUUCUCACCACAGGAUAUUCCACAAGCCACAAACAUGGCAAAAAAAAAAAAAAAGAUUUAGAUGGUUCUUGACUGAAAAAAAUGCACGAUCUAAAAGUUGAGGAUUAUGUUUUAUUCAGCAGACUUGCUGAGAACUUAAACCUGGAAGUCAGCUCUUCAGAUAGCUCUGAGCAACUGCUGCAAAGAGGUAAGGGAGGAGCCAGGAUAUAAAGGAGUUUUUGCAAGGAGAAGAAAAUGGAUAGUCAUAACAUCAAAAGAUUACUGUUAAUGAAAGAAGACCAGACAUCUCAAGUUAAUGAACUUAGUACUUUUCUAUGCAUGGGAAGAUGCAAGAGUCACUGAAAUCAUUCCUUUGAUAUACACCUUAACCAUCUAGGGCCAGUAUCCUCUUCUUGCCCAUCCUGGAUCCCCUCAGGGUGCAUUGCUGAGGGCAGCUGCAGUGGCUGAUGGCUUGGUGGCAGGCAGCCCGACUGUUUCCAUCCUAAGUUCCCUCCUCAGGUCUCAGCAUCAGGGGUAGCUGUAGGGGUUGAUGGCUCAAUGGCCACUACAUACUUUGUUUGCUGAUAUGGCAGGUGGCAUUCUUUGUCCACAUGAUAAAUUCUAUAGGAUCUGUAUUUUACACAAUUAAAAAUUAAAAACUUGAAUCUACAGAUUAAAAGGAAAACUGAUUUAAAACAACCAACGCUGAGACUGGCCUAAUGAAGAUCCUUAUCUUCCAAGAUAAAGAAUCACUGGGCAUUUACAUGUAUAUAUAUGUAUGUAUGUAUUCAGGCUGGCUCCAGACUUCAGCAACAAAAGACAGUGGAGAAAUUCCUAUAUAGUCCUCCAGGAGAAGAUAAGUGAGAUCCAAGCAUUUUGUUCUUAAUCAAACUAUUUUAUCAGGCUAAAGGCAACAGACAGCAUGCAAGAAUUCAGGGAAUUUCAUUCCAACGAACUCUU